Bos taurus (domestic cattle) is the source of this 344-nucleotide long non-coding RNA. NCBI's taxonomy places the organism in Eukaryota, Metazoa, Chordata, Mammalia, Artiodactyla, Bovidae. The record is from Ensembl.
GGUGUCUUCACACCCUCAGCCUUCAGCCAGAAUCCACUGCUUUGCCGUCAUAUAUUGGGUUCCAAGGAGACCCGGGUUCGAUCCCUGGGUUGGGAAGAUCCCCAGGAGGAGGAAAUGGCAACCCACUUCAGCAUUCUUGCUUGGAGAAUUCCGUGGACAGAGGAGACUGGUUCUGGGCGGCCACUUCCCUGGGCUGUGUGCGCACUGGGCUUGGAUUUCAAUCAGAUGGGGCCCGGCAGAGCUGUCCCCAGGGAACUCACAGCAGCGAUGCCCCCCUCGGAAUGAUAAAUGAGCCCGCAGACAGCAGAAAUGCUGCCCAGCUGCUCUGGGGGGUCGGCGUGCAU